Molecule: non-coding RNA, 120 nt
Filed under: uncultured Eubacterium sp.
Lineage: Bacteria; Bacillati; Bacillota; Clostridia; Eubacteriales; Eubacteriaceae
Description: pemK RNA
Rfam family: pemK RNA
Source: RNAcentral
UAAAGAUACUUGCGUCCAGUCCUAAAGCCGAGCGUUGAAGCGAUUUUUGUGGUUGUCGUGAGCCGUCGCAGCAAAGGAGGGCGCCCUGCGGAGAUCCCGGGGGUGGUGAGAUUCCAAUGA